AGCGGCGGAUGGGUGAGUAACACGUGGGGAACCUGCCCCUAAGUCUGGGAUACCAUUUGGGAACAGGUGCUAAUACCGGAUAAUAAAGCAGAUCGCAUGAUCAGCUUUUGAAAGGCGGCGUAAGCUGUCGCUAAGGGAUGGCCCCGCGGUGCAUUAGCUAGUUGGUAAGGUAACGGCUUACCAAGGCGACGAUGCAUAGCCGAGUUGAGAGACUGAUCGGCCACAUUGGGACUGAGACACGGCCCAAACUCCUACGGGAGGCAGCAGUAGGGAAUCUUCCACAAUGGACGCAAGUCUGAUGGAGCAACGCCGCGUGAGUGAAGAAGGUUUUCGGAUCGUAAAGCUCUGUUGUUGGUGAAGAAGGAUAGAGGUAGUAACUGGCCUUUAUUUGACGGUAAUCAACCAGAAAGUCACGGCUAACUACGUGCCAGCAGCCGCGGUAAUACGUAGGAGGCAAGCGUUGUCCGGAUUUAUUGGGCGUAAAGCGAGCGCAGGCGGAAAAAUAAGUCUAAUGUGAAAGCCCUCGGCUUAACCGAGGAACUGCAUCGGAAACUGUUUUUCUUGAGUGCAGAAGAGGAGAGUGGAACUCCAUGUGUAGCGGUGGAAUGCGUAGAUAUAUGGAAGAACACCAGUGGCGAACGCGGCUCUCUGGUCUGCAACUGACGCUGAGGCUCGAAAGCAUGGGUAGCGAACAGGAUUAGAUACCCUGGUAGUCCAUGCCGUAAACGAUGAGU
RNAcentral lists this ribosomal RNA (734 nucleotides) under uncultured bacterium. Its description in RNAcentral is "bacterial SSU rRNA". It matches the Rfam family "Bacterial small subunit ribosomal RNA", at positions 94 to 814 of the family's 1533-position model. The record is from RNAcentral.